GAACAAUUAUUAUUUCAAGUGCGUUCUAUGUUCAAAAAACUUUUCGAAGUGUCGAGUCGUCCGCUAAACGGAUGAAUAAAAUAAAUUAGUCGUCCGAUUACCGGAUGACUACCGGAGUACUACACAGAAAAAGGAGCCUCGCUUCGCGGGGCUCCGUCGACGCUCAAAAAAAAAUCAAGUUUAGGUUAGGUUAGCCGUUAGGUUAGGUUUGGUUUCUUAAAAAAAAAACUACACAGAAAUAGGAGCCCCGCGAAGCGGGGCUCCGUCGACGCGCAAAAAAAAUAAUCAAAUACCUACGUGUGCCCUCCUCCCCCCACAAAGAACCUGUAAUACGUAGGUACGGCAGUUCUUAUUCAUCCGUUUAGCGAACGACUAGCACUGUCCAAAACUUUUAGCGAGCUUUGCUGCAGCCUACGUAAUGAAAAAAAAAAUACCAAUCCCUCAAACACGCCAAAUAAGAGCAAGAAUUCGACAAGAGGUGUUUUUAUAAAUUUAUUUACUUUCAAUGUUUUGAACAAUUUUAAUAAAUAACUUAAUCCUUUGCAUUGAAGAAGGUCACUGCCUGUCGCUGCUAUUGUAGUCACAAACAAUUCUAUUACACCACAUUGAUUAGGUAUUCAACAAUUAAGUAUACUCCAUAUUAUGUAUUAAAAAGACAUUUAAAUACAAAAUGUUUGUUUCUGUUCAAUUCUAAAUGUUUUAAAGAUUUACAAAGUAUUAUGAAACAAAACCAUUUGAAAGUCUUGACAAUUGUAUUAGGUAUAUUUUUUAAUAUAAUUGUCAUUGAUUAUAAAAUGUGAAUAUAAUUACAGAUUUCAAAGGAAACUUCAAUUGUCAGUGGCUUGGCCAUAGGAUGCAUAGAUUGCACUGACAUAUCUAUUGUAAAACCCCACAUAGAUGAACAGAAUUAUUUUAACAGGAAAGGAUACCAUUCCUUAAAUGUGCAAAUGAUAUUAUGUGAUGGUAGUUUAAAGAUUAUUAAUGUCAAUGCGAAAUAUGGAGGAGCCAUGCAUGAUUCCUUCAUAUAGUCAUUGUGGGAACCAUACAUGUGUGGACUUCACAAAAAUGGUGAAUUGACAUUGUGUUCUGCACAAUAUUGCACUGGAUGUUCAAUUACCUCUCCCUAGUAAUAUGGCUGAGCAACAAGAGGAUGGUGAUGAACCGAGUGUGGCGGUUGGACCCAUUUCCAGCAACCAAGACGAGCUAAUGAGUGGCAGAAUAAUGCUUAAUAAUUUAGUUAGGUAAUAGAUUAUUUUAAUAGGUUAUUUUUGUUUGUCUCUAUGGUAAUGGCGUGUAGUAUGUAGCAUGAACUAGUGGUUCCCUGGUCCGACUAACUGGAACAGCACCUGGCACUAGCAGCACUGCACACUCCCGAUUCACUGGAGCAUUAUUUUAUUGACAAAUAAGUUUGGUAAUUAACCAUUGUUUAAUGUUUUAAAACAAAAGUAUGUAAUUUUGGUUAUAAAGACUGAAGUAGUCAUUUAGUUAAUUGUUAAAUUAAGUAUAUUAUUGUAAAAGCUAGAAGAGUGAAUUACUUACUAAAUAAAGACUAAUUAAAAUUAA
Molecule: long non-coding RNA, 1563 nt
Organism: Colias croceus (clouded yellow)
Lineage: Eukaryota; Metazoa; Arthropoda; Insecta; Lepidoptera; Pieridae
Exons: 2
Source: RefSeq, a predicted model, not a curated record